GGCACGCAUGCGGCGCAGCCUGACGGAGCACGCCGCGUGAGUGAUGAAGGUCUUCGGAUCGUAAAACUCUGUUAUUAGGGAAGAACAAAUGUGUAAGUAACUGUGCACGUCUUGACGGUACCUAAUCAGAAAGCCACGGCUAACUACGUGCCAGCAGCCGCGGUAAUACGUAGGUGGCAAGCGUUAUCCGGAAUUAUUGGGCGUAAAGCGCGCGUAGGCGGUUUCUUAAGUCUGAUGUGAAAGCCCACGGCUCAACCGUGGAGGGUCAUUGGAAACUGGGAAACUUGAGUGCAGAAGAGGAAAGUGGAAUUCCAUGUGUAGCGGUGAAAUGCGCAGAGAUAUGGAGGAACACCAGUGGCGAAGGCGACUUUCUGGUCUGUAACUGACGCUGAUGUGCGAAAGCGUGGGGAUCAAACAGGAUUAGAUACCCUGGUAGUCCACGCCGUAAACGAUGAGUGCUAAGUGUUAGGGGGUUUCCGCCCCUUAGUGCUGCAGCUAACGCAUUAAGCACUCCGCCUGGGGAGUACGACCGCAAGGUUGAAACUCAAAGGAUUUGGACG
Molecule: ribosomal RNA, 560 nt
Filed under: Staphylococcus sp. HB4
Lineage: Bacteria; Bacillati; Bacillota; Bacilli; Caryophanales; Staphylococcaceae
Description: bacterial SSU rRNA
Rfam family: Bacterial small subunit ribosomal RNA
Source: RNAcentral